This 433-nucleotide ribosomal RNA is filed under the name uncultured bacterium. RNAcentral describes it as "partial 16S ribosomal RNA". It matches the Rfam family "Bacterial small subunit ribosomal RNA", at positions 29 to 507 of the family's 1533-position model. The record is from RNAcentral.
AACGAACGCUGGCGGCAUGCCUAACACAUGCAAGUCGAACGAGACCUUCGGGUCUGGUGGCUAACGGAUUCGUAACGCGUGGGAAACUGCGCUUAUGUUCUGAAUAACUCCCCGAGAGGGGUGCGGAUACCUGAUAAUGUCUUCGGACCAAAGAUUUAUCGCCUUUGGAUGUGCCCGCGUUGGAUUAGCUAGUUGGUAGGGUAAAAGCCUACCAAGGCGACGAUCCAUAGCUGGUCUGAGAGGAUGAUCAGCCACACUGGGACUGAGACACGGCCCAGACUCCUACGGGAGGCAGCAGUGGGGAAUAUUGGACAAUGGGCGAAAGCCUGAUCCAGCAAUGCCGCGUGAGUGAUGAAGGCCUUAGGGUUGUAAAGCUCUUUUAACCGGGAUGAUAAUGACAGUACCGGGAGAAUAAGCUCCGGCUAACUACGUG